CAGCAAUGUUCAGAUGCAUCCUGACACAUCAGGAGAGUCCCAGAGAAGGAACAUGGCUAAGGGCCUCCAAAAACCAAAGCAAAAGCUCCACACAGCGAGCUGGUGGCACCAGGCCAGGUAUGGAAGACGGAGAUUGGCCCCAAUUCAAGACAAUUUGAUACAAAGAGGAAACACUUGACAUAGAAUGCUGCAUGAAGAAGGUCAUGUGGAAAUUCAAUUCUUCAGAAGCUGCCUUAUGAGGGUUGGUAGUUUAGAUCUUUUUUCCCCCUAUUCUUUCUUUCCUUCCUUCCUUCCUUCCAUUCCUUCUCGG
Molecule: long non-coding RNA, 310 nt
Filed under: Cavia porcellus (domestic guinea pig)
Lineage: Eukaryota; Metazoa; Chordata; Mammalia; Rodentia; Caviidae
Description: lncRNA (ENSCPOG00000039554.1)
Source: RNAcentral